RNAcentral lists this long non-coding RNA (209 nucleotides) under Setaria viridis. RNAcentral describes it as "long non-coding RNA (SVIR_LNC003364)". Lineage: Eukaryota; Viridiplantae; Streptophyta; Magnoliopsida; Poales; Poaceae. The record is from RNAcentral.
GGAGGCCCUGGCUUCCGCCCCAUCGAUGAUUGGAGCAGCACGAGGAACACAGCAGCGACAAACAACGUCCCGUUAAGAGCGGCUGCAGUUGAAGCGGCCAUGGUAUAUGUGGCUUUUUCUGGAUGGGUAGAACAGAAAGGAAUGAGAACUCGAAGAGAAGGUUUGCUAUAAAUGGUGGAGAUGGGCAAGCAAGCAGCACGGUUGGUGCC